RNAcentral lists this ribosomal RNA (273 nucleotides) under uncultured Staphylococcus sp. Its description in RNAcentral is "partial 16S ribosomal RNA". It matches the Rfam family "Bacterial small subunit ribosomal RNA", at positions 89 to 355 of the family's 1533-position model. The record is from RNAcentral. Lineage: Bacteria; Bacillati; Bacillota; Bacilli; Caryophanales; Staphylococcaceae.
ACGUUAGCGGCGGACGGGUGAGUAACACGUGGGUAACCUACCUAUAAGACAGGGAUAACUUCGGGAAACCGGAGCUAAUACCGGAUAAUAUUUCGAACCGCAUGGUUCGAUAGUGAAAGGUGGUUUUGCUAUCACUUAUAGAUGGACCCGCGCCGUAUUAGCUAGUUGGUAAGGUAACGGCUUACCAAGGCGACGAUACGUAGCCGACCUGAGAGGGUGAUCGGCCACACUGGAACUGAGACACGGUCCAGACUCCUACGGGAGGCAGCAGCU